GGAUCUGGAAGUGAGCCUUGAAAAACUCCAGCAGGAGGAAGAGCCAACAGUGAAGACAGAGCUAAUGAAUGAGUAGCUGGAAGAAAGAACUCCCACCAUGGCAAGUUUUGCCAACAAGAUGGCACAACUGAAUGUGGAAUUGGGAAGAGGAAUCCACAGCGGGCUCUCAGGAGCUAGAAGGAGCCUGCUUCAGCACACCACCAAGGGGGUCCAUGCCUGGUCCACACGGCCACCUGUUCCUCCUUCCCUCCCUGGGGGCAUGUGAAGUCCAAGGACACGCUUCAUUCCUCCUUACCAAUUAUGGUUUCAGGUGCCCAAGAAAGCACCUCCCUGUCUGCUCCCCUCCUCCACCCUCUUCUUGUCGACAAGUCAUGCUCCAGGGACGGACCAUGGUCUGUUCACCAGGGUUCUUUGGGAAGAACUUGGACAAGGUUUGCUUCAAGUUUCAUCUUUUAGUGAAUUGGAACUCUAAAACCCCAGCUGCCAGCCCAACACCUUCCUGUGUCUUGGGAUUAUGGAACUAUGAAAGGAAUUUGUUUUGCUGGAUAAUUUUGAGUAACUUGAGCUGUGUAUUGGGUGAAAAAGGGAAAAAUCUAUCAAGCAGUCCUGUGCCCUAUGGUACAGACAACAUUUGUCCAACCCAGAUGCCCCCCAAAUUGGAAUCACUGUUACCCUAAGGACAAUGGGUGGUCCAGGAAGGGGUAUGCCUAAUUUUAGAAAGCCAGACUCAUCACCGGGGUGAUCUUUAAUAGAAGCCUUUGUUGAACAAUGGUUUUUAUCCCAGAAUGUGAUCACAGCUGUUUUAUUUUAGCUAAUGCAGCAAUUCAAGCAAUUAAAUCCAUAUUCCACUGUGGCUAUUUAUUUUCACGAAGUAGUUCUCCAUGCAUUGUCAUGAAAGAAUUCUUUGAGACUUGCAAAGUCAAAACAGAAUGUAGACUUUUUUUUUUCCUUCUAAAAUAGCCACAUCUGCUUCUUCAAGUUGUCUUUUCUUUGUUGAUGUCUCAUAAGGAUGUCAACUUUUAAUCUCCAAGAACUAGGUUCCAUUGGGAGAAAUAAGAUUUAUUCUUUAGAGGCAAUAGAGUAAGUAUCAUGGUAAAUCAUAGUCCAGGAGAAAGAGGAGGACCGGUUUGUUUUAGUAGCAAAAGAACAAAUCAGGGAGCUCAUGUUGAAAUCUGAUAUUGUUACAAAAUUAAAUGAGAUGAUUAUU
Long non-coding RNA from Bubalus bubalis (water buffalo), 1207 nucleotides. RefSeq lists it as uncharacterized. The transcript is spliced from 3 exons. Lineage: Eukaryota; Metazoa; Chordata; Mammalia; Artiodactyla; Bovidae. The record is from RefSeq and is a predicted model, not a curated record.